UGCUCUUUAGGGUCUGACUUCUAAACAUCUUUUUGAGGCUGAAAUUACGAACAGGCGUGCCAAGCUCGCGUGGAAAUUCCCUGUUAUCAAUACGCCGCUGCCUCGUAAACGGCGACUUGCAGCUCUCCUCCGGGGAGCUGGCUGGGCCCCGUGCCCCUGGGACAGGCUCUGCUCUUUUUGACGGCAGGGCUAUUAAUGGAAUAGAGAGGGGUUUUUGUUUGUUUGUUUGUUUGUUUUCAUUUCUACCUCGCCCGAGUGCCUGUUGGCCCUUCUUUUGUCCUUGUUCUCUUGCUGUUUAUACUGCUGAAGAUUUUCGCUCUUUAAUUGCCUUCGCUAGGUCCAACUAACUCGGCUUUAACAAUUCUCAUCUCCAGCUUUCGAAGACCAGGGGCUGAAUGAACUCCAGAGCAGCACAGAUGGAGUACAGGCAGGAGGAUUCGAGGGACAGCAGCUUUUCUCUGCCAGAGGAGAACUCAUCCAAGGCACAAAUGGCAGAUGCAUUCCACCUUCACUGUCCUCAAACUGAAGCAAGGAGUUUCAUGUGGAAGUUAAGUUCAUCUUUUCUGAACAAGGAUGAAGUUGCUGUCCUCUGCUGGCCCUCUCUCGUUUUGAUGCACAUGAUCAUCACUGCAGUUACGUUUUUGGCCCAAGCGCACAAGUAG
This 662-nucleotide long non-coding RNA is filed under the name Anser brachyrhynchus (Pink-footed goose). RNAcentral's name for it is "lncRNA (ENSABRG00000015093.1)". Lineage: Eukaryota; Metazoa; Chordata; Aves; Anseriformes; Anatidae. The record is from RNAcentral.